Molecule: ribosomal RNA, 301 nt
Filed under: uncultured bacterium
Lineage: Bacteria
Description: partial 16S ribosomal RNA
Rfam family: Bacterial small subunit ribosomal RNA
Source: RNAcentral
CAGCCGCCGCGGGAAUACGGAGGGUGCGAGCGUUAAUCGGAAUUACUGAGCGUAAAGCGUACGCAGGCGGUUUGUUAAGUCAGAUGUGAAAUCCCCGAGCUUAACUCGGGAACUGCAUUUGAAACUGGCAGGCUAGAGUCUCGUAGAGGGGGGUAGAAUUCCAGGUGUAGCGGUGAAAUGCGUAGAGAUCUGGAGGAAUACCGGUGGCGAAGGCGGCCCCCUGGACGAAGACUGACGCUCAGGUACGAAAGCGUGGGGAGCAAACAGGAUUAGAUACCCCAGUAGUCCCUGUCUCUUAUAC